Molecule: long non-coding RNA, 261 nt
Organism: Mesoplodon densirostris (Blainville's beaked whale)
Lineage: Eukaryota; Metazoa; Chordata; Mammalia; Artiodactyla; Ziphiidae
Exons: 3
Source: RefSeq, a predicted model, not a curated record
AGACAUGGAAUUGGAUUCUGGGAGUUGAUAAUGAAUUCUACUUUCCAGUCAAAGCACCAUUUCUUGUGGAUUUAAAGAAACCGGAGUUAAAGAUUCCUCACACAGUGAACUUCUACAUCAAAGUUGAACCUAGGGUGAUUCUGGGAAUCUGGGCAGCUCCUCAUAGACCUGAGCUAGUAAAGUGUUAAAUUCCUAUCUUCUCCCCUUCUUAUCAUGCACGGUGAGGAUGACAAAACGGUGCCUUUCGAAUUUGGAAAAAAG